GGAGAAGUGGGAGAGUGGUUGAAUCCGCGCCCCUGCUAAGGGUGUGUAGAAGCAAUUCUACCGAGGGUUCGAAUCCCUCCUUCUCCACCA
Molecule: transfer RNA, 90 nt
Filed under: Sulfurimonas sp.
Lineage: Bacteria; Pseudomonadati; Campylobacterota; Epsilonproteobacteria; Campylobacterales; Sulfurimonadaceae
Description: tRNA-Ser
Rfam family: tRNA
About the family: Transfer RNA (tRNA) molecules are approximately 80 nucleotides in length. Their secondary structure includes four short double-helical elements and three loops (D, anti-codon, and T loops).
Source: RNAcentral